CCUAAUUAAUAUUAUAAUUAAUAGCACUUAAGCAUUAUAAUUAUCCUUUACGUUCCAAGAUUAGGGUUUCAUACAUCGAAUUAGGGUUUUGAAUUUCCCAAAACUGACAUUAGUGUUUCAGAACCGGUUUUAGGGUUUCUUGUUAAUCGCUAGGAUUUUCUAACCGAACGUUGACGUUCUUAAUAUAUACGUAGGGUUUGUUACAGAUAUCAUUUAUCUGGUCAACCCUUGACCCUUAACCACAUAAUGUACACAUAUUCACAGAACAUAUUCGCUUAUUCCCUUAAUCAUGAAUAAUUCACCUAAAUCCUUCACAGAAUUUUGAAAUCCUCAAAAUUCUAUCUUAAAAAUAUCAAACACAUACACUUAUUUUCUGUCUAGGUUCAAAUUUUGAACCUUAAAUCAAUUAAUAAAAAUUUUAAAAAUAUUCAAAAUUCUCGGGUUGUCACAUUCACCCAUUCUUCAAAAAAUUUCGUCCUCGAAAUUUACCUUACACCAUACACUAUACAUACACAACAUCUCAUGCUACCCAAUACACCACUCACAAGAGUAAAAAUUUUCAAAUUUUGCUGAGGAGUCAUAUAGACUAUUUGUCUGUCAUUUUCGCAAAGGUUUUAUAGAAAUUCAUCCACAAACCAUCAGAACUUACAGACAUAAAGGGUGAUUAGCCCGAUAUGUCCUGUACUGGCCAAGUACUGAUUUUAUCUGUUUCUCUUCACUGCCAUAGGCACAAAAAUUCUACCUCAGUCUUAUUGGAUUCCGCACCAAUACAAUUUGGUUUGGGAAAUUUCUUUCAAUGAACAUUUAGAGUUUUCAUAAACCUUAGUCUAGCUAAAUCGAAUAGCGUAGACUCAUAUCAAUAAUUCAAUUCAAUCGAAUUAUUUAAGUGUAGCCAAACCCCGUUGACAAAUUAAAUUUUAUUGAAUAUUUUUUUGAGAAUGACGUUAUGAUGCCGUACUGUAUUAACAGUCCGUGUGAGGAUGCCGUCAUUAUAUGACUUUGUCAUAACCCAUCAUACAAUAGUGGAAUAACGAUUUUAGAUCAAAUUCACACUAAGUAUUCCUGUAUUUACAACUCCAUCAACUUUUUAUCAUCUCUGCACCAGGUUACAUGGUACAUGAGUGAUAAAUAAAAUAUAUUUUGAUAUAUCAAAUCAUUUGCGUCUAGCUGAAAUAAGUAGUAUAGACUAUACUUUAAACUGUUUCAAAAAUGAUUACGAGUCUACAUAUUUUUUUUAAAAGGAACAUAGUGCGUAUUUAGCUUGAUGUCAAAAUUUUGAAGUCUAGCAUAGCUAGGAGUUUUGGAAAACUUAUGUCUUCACUAAUAAUCGUUUGUUAAACAGUCUAUCUAUUCUUAUUAUCCUUAAUACUCCAUUUACACAAAACUAUACCCAGUUCGUAAAACCACACUUAUGAGUCCAUAAAUUGCCACAAUCAUAUGAGUUUUAGAACUUUUCUAGAGAGACCUUUGGCGUCCAUUCGCUGAGGGGUUCAUAAACAUUUCAUAUAACUAUGAAUCAAGUAUGUCACAUAAGUAUGAGUUUUAAGAACUCGUACUUAACCUUAUAUCCUCUACCUAUGACCUAUCUAUCUGUUAUACACAUGAAAAAUGAAUCACCCUCUUAACAUGCAUAUAUCAAAUUGCGCGACACAACAUUUCAAUGAUUAUAAUUGUCAGAACUUAGUAGCUGUUACACUAAGUACAAUUCCCCGCCCACACAAGGAAUCAUACAACUCAGCUGCCGGCAUGAAUCCUCAAUUGAAUCCCCACCUAACACUAACCCCCUUCUCAAUACGAAUUUCAUUCAACUCGUAUUCAUAAUCCUUUCCUGAAUCUGUAUCAAUUUACACAAUAAUAUUGCUGUAAACUUUCCAAUCAUCAGAUUGAUUCUUAUCCCAUACUAUAACCUUAUCCGAUCACGGGGUGAUCUCAUCGUAUAUAUUACGAUUCAUUUCUAUAUCUUGAUCAUUUUAUUUUACGAUCUCCUAUCACUGUACUUUUAGUCUUUUAGACUCUAUCUAUUCACCACUACUGUUCAACUUUAUUAUCAGAGUUAGGGAACUCUGUAUCUUUACACUCGCCGAGAUUCAUCUUUGAAUCUUAUCGACCAACUAACUCUGUGUAAGUUAGUACUUCUCCUAAUCAGUGCGGUUAUUAGUCUCAGGUAUUUCUACCUAAGGUUCAUAACCAACAGCUUUGAUACUAACUAUGACGACCCCGAAUUCGAGGUCCCGAAUCACCGCGGAUCCGGUUCGAUCAUUCUAACACUAUUACUAUUUGCGGAAGAUAUAAACAUAAAUUGUUUAUACAUUAACUUUACACACUAUUCCCCAAGGUCGAGUAACCAUAACUUAAUACACAAAUCAUAACUUAUUUAACACAUAACAUUAUUAUUACACUAUACUAUUACAAAACUAAUCACGCACAUUAACUUUAAGCUGGAACUGUCUUUAAUCUUUCCUUGUAUCUGACGCAUUCGCCUUAAUCUACAAUGUUUUAUCAUGAUAUAGCAAGGGUGAGCAUAAAAGUUGUCCAACAAGUUUAAAUUCAAUAAUAUAACGAUAUAUCAUGAUUGAAAGAGUCUGAAUAAUAAGCUGGCGAUAAUUCAACAAUAUAAUUGUGAACUAGCACGAACAAAUUUAUGACUGAACAAGUAUUAUACAUGAACAAAUAUAUCUGAAACCAACUGGUAAUGAAGGUGAUCAGCCUUUCAUACCUGACUUAUACAUGCAAUAUGUACANNNNNNNNNNNNNNNNNNNNNNNNNNNNNNNNNNNNNNNNNNNNNNNNNNNNNNNNNNNNNNNNNNNNNNNNNNNNNNNNNNNNNNNNNNNNNNNNNNNNAUUUUUCAUGUAUUAAAAUCAUUUUUAAAUAAUUUAUUUAAUAUUAUAAUUAAAUAAAUUAAAUACCAUUUAUAUUCCAAAAAUAUUAAAUAUUUAUGAAAUAUACUCAAAAUAAUUAAAAACUAUUUUUCAGUCUUUAAAAUAAUUUUUUGUAAUUUAUUUAUUAUUUUUAAUGAUUAAAAACCAUUUAAUUUGAUUUAUUAAAUUAAUUAAUCUAUUUUGCAAAAAUAAUUGUCUCUAAAGGACCCUAUAGCGACAGACCCGUCGCUAUAGGUGUUCUUGAGCCUGCCCAGAUAAGCAAGUCAGUCACCGAGUUGGUAUGUUUGACCACAAAUGAAUCUGCGUUCCGGUCGAUUUUUGGGCUUGAUAAUGGUCAGAUCCUGUAGUAUUGAUGCAACACUACAUGAUCUAACCAUCAUUAGGGUUAUAAUGCAUCACACAAGCACGAUCUAGACUUCUAAAAAGUCUGACAAAGCUGUUCUUCAUUUCUGGGUUCUCCAGAAAUGAAGAACAGUUGCUACUACCUCUUUUGGAUCCUUAUAAAAUGCAUAUUUAAGAUUUCUUUGUGUGAUAUGAAGGUUCAUAUAUGUAGUGGAGAUGUCAGUGAACAACUUGAUAUCCUUAGAUUAGUCUAACAACAACAUUACACGAAGAUGUAGGCCGGUCAAACUACUUGUCAGGAACUCGGCUGAUGAAGAUCUGGGUUACCCAGAAUCUUCAUCCGGCGUGAUGGUCAACGCCUGUUUGACCCACAAUUUCUAUGAUUCUGUUACGGUGUUUGGUGAUCUAAAGGCAUGAGUGUGAAGUCCUUAUACGUGUCUACAACAUAUAAACAACAACAUAACAAAAACAAUAACAUACAGUAAGAUCAAAGACUCAGAAAACGUUGUCAGACGAGAUCUGGGCUUCUGGGUUGCCCAGAAACUCAGUCUCUAUGACCGGUCAACGCAGUUUGACUGCUCAUAUCUCUCAAUCCUAUCAUGAUCUGGCCAUGUUUAUAGUUUCAGAUCAAAGUUCUCAUGACAUAGAACACAUUUAUAACAUAAAACAACACAAAGCAAAAAUAGAGAAGGAUUUACAGGCCUUGACAUUAGCUUGGCAGGCCAUAUUUCUAACUUUUUCCAGAUUUUAAAAAUCAUCAAAUCCGAGCAUUUUGAUGUUAUGGAUCUGGGAUUUAACAACCCAGAUCACUAAAAGACACCUUAUUACACAUCUUUAACCAAUCAAUUACAACUUUUAACAUCAAAUCAAAAUAUUUUAAAAAUUAGGGUUCUUAUACCUUUUGAAGCUAUGAUUCUGAUUCUGAUCCUUGAUGAUCUGAUAUUUGAUAGUUAUGGACUGAUCAUGUCUUAUCUUAUAUCACUUUCUCACUCUACAUUUUUCGGAUUUUAGAGAGAGAAGGUCUUGGAGAGAAAUAAAAAUGUAAGUGGCCAUUUCUCUCUCUUUAAUCUCUAUAAAUGACUUGAUGCAAUGGAAUGGCUGGAAAUUUCUGCUGAGAUAGCUCGUAAUUGUCAAAUGCUAUGCUUAGGGUUGGCCACCAACUCACAAUAGGUCAAUUCUUGCAAGUUAAGUCACAAUAAUGCACUAAGGACAUUUUAGUCUUUUCGUAUACAAAAUUAAUGGCAUUCUUAUCAAUUAGCCAAACCCUUAGGGUUUAGGGUUUGGGUUAGGGUUUAUAAUUUGGACCAUUUUAGGAUUUAGGGUUUAACCCUUAACUUGCAAUUUAUUUUUCUAAAAUUUCCAAUUUAGGUUUUUAAAAUAGAAAAUUAACAUUUUCAAAAUUAUAAUUAUAAUUUUCUAAUUAUAUUAAAAUUUCUUAAUCAUUACUUAAAUCUUGCUAAUUAGGAUUAGCAUUUCCUAAUUCCAAUCGCUAAUUAAAUAAUUAGGGUCAAAAUGGUCAUUAGGGUUUAUAAACCACUAAUUAGGGUUUUCAAUAGAAAAAAAAAUAAUUUUCUAAUUUAGAAAUUAAAUUUCGUAAUUAGAUUAGGGUUUUCUAAUUGCUUAAUUUUGAAAAUUAGGAUUAAUAUUUCCUAAUUAAUAUUAAAAUUAUUAAAUUAACACUUAGGUUUUUUUCCCGAAUUAUAAAUUAGGGUUUCUUAUCCCGAAAUUAGGGUUUUCUAAAUUUAAAAUUAGGGUUUACUAAAUAAUUAAGCUUUACCCUAAUUAAUAUUAUAAUUAAUAGCACUUAAGCAUUAUAAUUAUCCUUUACGUUCCAAGAUUAGGGUUUCAUACAUCGAAUUAGGGUUUCGAAUUUCCCCAAACCGACAUUAGUGUUUCAGAACCGGUUUUAGGGUUUCUUGUUAAUCUCUAGGAUUUUCUAACCGAACGUUGACGUUCUUAAUAUAUACGUAGGGUUUGUUACAGAUAUCAUUUAUCUGGUCAACCCUUGACCCUUAACCACAUACUGUACACAUAUUCAUAGAACAUAUUCGCUUAUUCCCUUAAUCAUGAAUAAUUCACCUAAAUCCUUAACAGAAUUUUGAAAUCCUCAAAAUUCUAUCUUAAAAAUAUCAAACACAUACACUUAUUUUCUGUCUAGGUUCAAAUUAUGAACCUUAAAUUAAUUAAUAAAAAUUUUAAAAAUAUUCAAAAUUCUCGGGUUGUCACAUUCACCCCUUCUUCUAAAAAUUUCGUCCCCGAAAUUUACCUUACACCUUACACCAUACACCAUACAUACACAACAUCUCAUGCUACCCAAUAAACCACUCACAAGAGUAAAAAUUUUCAAAUUUUGCUGAGGAGUCAUAUAGACUAUUUGUCUGUCAUUUUCGCAAAGGUUUUAUGGAAAUUCAUCCACAAACUAUCAGAACUUACAGACAUAAAGGGUGAUUAGCCCGAUAUGUCCUGUACUGGCCAAGUACUGAUUUUAUCUGUUUCUCUUCACUGCCAUAGGCACAAAAAUUCUACCUCAGUCUUAUUGGAUUCCGCACCAAUACAAUUUGGUUCGGGAAAUUUCUUUCAAUGAACAUUUAGAGUUUUCAUAAACCUUAGUCUAGCUGAAUCGAAUAGCGUAGACUCAUAUCAAUAAUUCAAUUCAAUCGAAUUAUUUAAGUGUAGCCAAACCCCGUUGACAAAUUAAAUUUUAGUGAUUUUUUUUUUGAGAAUGACGUCAUGAUGCCGUACUGUAUUAACAGUCCGUGUGAGGAUGCCGUCAUUAUAUGACUUUGUCAUAACACAUCAUACAAUAGUGGAAUAACGAUUUUAGAUCAAAUUCACACUAAGUAUUCCUAUAUUUACAACUCCAUCAACUUUUUAUCAUCUCUGCAUCAGGUUACAUGGUACAUGAGUGAUAAAUAAAAUAUAUUUUGAUAUAUCAAAUCAUUUGCGUCUAGCUGAAAUAAGUAGUAUAGACUAUACUUUAAACUGUUUCAAAAAUGAUUACGAGUCUGCAUAUUUUUUUUAAAAGGCACAUAGUGCGUAUUUAGCUUGAUGUCAAAAUUUUGAAGUCUAGCAUAGUUAGGAGUUUUGGAAAACUUAUGUCUUCACUAAUAAUCGUUUUCUUAAACAAUCUAUCUAUUCUUAUUAUCUUUAAUACUCCAUUUACACACAACUAUACCCAGUUCGUAAAACCACACUUAUGAGUCCAUAAAUUGUCACAAUCAUAUGAGUUUAAGAACUUUUCUAGACAGACCGUUGGCGUCCAUUCGCUGAGGGGUUCAGAAACAUUUCAUAUAACUAUGAAUCAAGUAUGUCACAUAAGUAUGAGUUUUAAGAACUUGUACUUAACCUUAUAUCCUCUACCUAUGACCUAACUAUCUGUUAUACACAUGAAAAAUGAAUCACCCUCUUAACAUGCAUAUAUCAAAUAGCGCGACACAACAUUUCAAUGAUUAUAAUUGUCAGAACUUAGUAGUUGUUACACCAAGUAAAAUUCCCCGCCCACACAAGGAAUCAUACAACUCAGCUGCCGACAUGAAUCCUCAAUUGAAUCCCUACCUAACACUAACCCCCUUCUCAAUACGAAUUUCAUUCAACUCGUAUUCAUAUUCCUUUCCUGAAUCUGUACCAAUUUACACAACAAUAUUGCUGUAAACUUUCCAAUCAUCAGAUUGAUUCUUAUCCCAUACUAUAACCUUAUCCGAUCACGGGGUGAUCUCAUCGUAUAUAUUACGAUUCAUUUCUAUAUCUUGAUCAUUUUGUUUUACGAUCUCCUAUCACUGUACUUUUAGUCUUUUAGACUCUAUCUAUUCACCACUACUGUUCAACUUUAUUAUCAGAGUUAGGGAACUCUGUAUCUUUACACUCGCUGAGAUUCAUCUUUGAAUCUUAUCGACUAACUAACUCUGUGUAAGUUAGUACUUAUCCUAAUCAGUGCGGUUAUUAGUCUCAGGUAUUUCUACCUAAGGUUCAUAACCAACAACUUUGAUACUAACUGUGACGACCCCGAAUCCGAGGUCCCGAAUCACCGCGGAUCCGGUUCGAUCAUUCUAACACUAUUACUAUUUGCGGAAGAUAUAAACAUAAAUUGUUUAUACAUUAACUUUACACACUAUUCCCCAAGGUCGAGUAACCUUAACUUAAUACACAAAUCAUAACUUAUUUAACACAUAACAUUAUUAUUACACUAUACUAUUACAAAACUAAUCACGCACAUUAACUUUAAGCUGGAACUGUCUUUAACCUUUCCUUGUAUCUGACGCAUUCGCCUUAAUAUGCAAUGUUUUAUCAUGAUAUAGCAAGGGUUAGCAUAAAAGUUGCCCAGCAAGUUUAAAUUCAAUAAUAUAACGAUAUAUCAUGAUUGAAAGAGUCUGAAUAAUAAGCUGGCUAUAAUUCAACAAUAUAAUUGUGAACUAGCACGAACAAAUUUAUGACUGAACAAGUAUUAUACAUGAACAAAUAUAUCUGAAACCAACUGGUAAUGAAGGUGAUCAGCCUUUCAUACCUGACUUAUACAUGCAAUAUGUACAUAGUAUAAUUCAUGGCAACCAGCAAUGAUUAACCAUAAGCUUAUUCGAAUGAAACAACUCUUAGUAGAGUUCAGUAAAAACAAACUUGCCUGAACCGUUGAUUACCGCUACGCAAUUUAUAACGCUUUAUCCGAAGACCUAAU
RNAcentral lists this long non-coding RNA (7891 nucleotides) under Panax ginseng (ginseng). RNAcentral describes it as "long non-coding RNA (PGIN_LNC011609)". Lineage: Eukaryota; Viridiplantae; Streptophyta; Magnoliopsida; Apiales; Araliaceae. The record is from RNAcentral.